GCCGCCAGAAGGACGGUGGCAGAACCUGUGGGCUAGGUGGGGGGCUCGCCAGCUAAGAAGAAGGAGAGCGAAGACCACUGCUCCGGAAAAGCGAGGAGGCGCAUGAAAUCCAGGAUCGGGCGGCAGCACUCCUCCUCUUGCAGCGGGAGACCGCGCUUCGGGAGAGCGCACCAGCAGCCCUGCGCGCAGGUGGCAGUGUAAAAGCCAAAACAGGAGCUUCCAGAAGUGGCUUCUGAAAUACAAGAGUGAAUGUACAUGAGUAAGCAAGCAAAGGAAUCUGAAAAACCACCGGUUUCCAUUUCUGAAUAAGGAGAAGAUGAGUUUCUCUCCCUAUGAAACUUUCCCUUGACAUGUUGCUGGGAAAUCAAAAAGAUAAAACAAACAUGAAAACACACUUCUCAGUAGUGAGGUAAUCAUUUUGCAUCCCUACUUGUGAAGAACCACCCUUGUGAAUGCUGCAUCGAUUUCAAGCCGUUCUUACCAAUUCAUCAGCUCCAGAGACCCAAACUACCUACUCUGUCAGCAUCCCUUUCUCGUAUUGAGGCUGUAGAUGAAGUGUCUUGAGAAUGAAGUUGACUCCAUGGUAGAACGAACUGAAAACUCCACAAAUGAGCUCCUGUAAGAUUGUACCUGGGUGUACCAACUUCAGCCUUUCCUAGGCCAGUAUCCUCUGUGAGGGCAUGCCGAAGAUAAAACCUCAAAUAUUUGCUUUCCUCCGGUUUUUGAUCUCCCGUACCUCUGGAACAGUUCUCCAUGUAGGUGAUAGCGGCACUAGGUAUGAAUUAAUUGAGAUGGGGCAGAAGUAAGAAAAAUCAUGACAUGCCACCCUUACCAGUUUUAGGAACCAAGUUUUUACUCCCCUCCCCCCAGUAGACUGCAGUUUGGAAGAGUAUGUAAAUAACAUAGGACUGUAUGCAAAUAUACUUCCCAUCUUGUUUGUGAUUUCAUAUACCUGAGUAAUGCCUCCAGUGAAAUGCAAAUAGAGACUUUUCUUCUGAAUCAUAUAGAUUUCCAAAAGCCAAGAAGUCCUGAGCUAUUGGGAAAUCCAGUUACCAAGUCCAUGUUUUUUAUUCUCUAAGGCCAAGACAGAGAAAUGUUCAUUACAUUUCAAUUACAGAGGAAAGAGUCUUGGACAUUCCAGUCCAUUCCCUUAUGUAAUAAUUCUUACAAUGGAAAGUUGAAAUCAUAAGCUUUAGAAAAUAUGCAGUUUCCUUUGAGUUUAGCCUUUUCUGAAAGGAAGGCUGGGUGAAUAAAAGUUUGCUCUGCCUUUUUUUUCACUGUUAACUUAGGAGUUACUGUUCUUCUUACAAGUGUAGUCUCUUUAGAGUAAGUAACUUCUGCAUUUCAGAAAAAUGGAGAGGUUUGGAGAGGAGGAACCCGUGAGGAACCAUUCAUGAAGUCGAAGUUGCUUGUAAUGCCUGUGUACUCCCUCUAUUCAUGAAUUAUUCCUUUUUCUGCCUUUGUUAUAAUAGUCAUAGUGUUCAGUCUCCUAGACUGUCUUGUGUUAUAUCCUUCUUUUGCUAAAAGACUAGAUAUCAGCAGCCUACUUUGAAUUAGAAGCCAAUUCAGCAUACCAUUUGAAAAGGAUAUUGGAAUCCUUCCUGCUAUGAAAAUGUCAUGUGUGCUUAAAAUGACAAAGUUUGUCCCAAGCAGUGGUUUCAAGUGCCUUUUAAAUGUUGUUCUUGAAUCUUCAAAGCAAUUUAAUUUUAGGGUGUUCGUUUUCAAGAAGGAAAAUUACCCAGCUAUGUGUUUGGUUGUGCUUUUUAAUAUCAAAAUGUUGAUCUGGAGAUGUAGAGUAUCCAAAAUGUAGAAUGAAGGUAGUGUGCCCGUUGGUAAAGUUUUCUUAUAAAAAAGCGUUUCUUGGGAGGUAAAACAACCAAACCAUAGAGAACUCAGAAAAAUAAAAUCUGAGUCAUGUAUGCUAGCAAAUACUUUUUGUUUGUGCUACUUAAUAUCAGUCUUUCAUACUCUCAAAUCAUGGAAUUUCCUCAACUGAAAUUCCAGGACAAGUGGUUUAGGUUCAAACUCCCCUGACAUCCCUCUCUCCACAAAUAUCAUGUCCAGCUCUCUCUUAGAGUUAUAGUUCCCCAGACUGCCCCUUAGGGACAGUGUGCCUGCUGAAGCUGGGUGCCCUGCAGUCCUGCUUGCAUGGAGGGAGACAUGUGGUCAGGUGCUCACUGAAAAAAAAAAUGAUGACAUUUUCUCCUAAACUUUUCUAGAAUGCCCAGAGGGAAGAGAAGGGGAAAGGGAGCAGGAUGGGAAGGGAGCUGCUGUAACAGUGAAAGGAUGAAUGACCUAUUAGAUCAUUAGGGUUAGUAAUAUGUUUUCUCAUUGGAAUCUGUGGGCUUUUCUCAUAGAUCAGCUUCUAUAUGGAUUCCAGGCCCAAUUCAGAGUUCAAGCAGCUUUGGCCAAAGAACAGCCACAGCAGCAGCAUGCUCUGUGGUCUGGGUUUAGUCCAAAGAGGGUUGCCAGAGAACCGGAAGACAAAGGUUUGACUUGAAAGAACACGUGGUUUGGGAGAAUCUGAAUCAUAUAGUGUUACUUUCACUUUUUCUUGACUUUUUUUUUCCCUAUGAACAAAACAAUGAGGCAAAUGGAGAGGCCUGAUUUGGAUAGUGGCUGGGAUUACUGUCCUGACAGAUGCUUCAAGAUUAGCAGUUUCCUGUCUUCAGUAGGUAUGAGCUGUGAGAAUGAGCUUCUUUCCCUCCCACCCGUUUUAUUAUUGGAUAAGGGUGAGGAGCAAAAGAGGCUGGGAGCCUCUCUUUUCCUUAUCCCUGCAGGUUCCUGGAGCCACUCAGUGAGCCAGGAAUGUGGGUACAUAGUGUGUGGUCUCCAGUCUGACCAAAGAGGCAGUUCCAUUUCGGGCUCUACCACUAAAAAUGUCUUUAUCCUGCCUGGGCUCAGAGGAGUGUGGGGAGGUUUGCCUUUCUCUGCUGCUUUUUUGCUUUCCACUAAGGAAAGCUGCGUAGGUGCUGCUGGGUGGGUGAGGGGAGGAGGAAAGCUUAGGAAAAUGCCCAGAAGCUUCCAGAAAAACCUGGUGUCUGGGGAAAUGCUUGUGUGCUGUGAAGUGUGGUUCCCUGGAGAACCCUAGACCCUCCGGUGCUUCAAUAAUGGAGUCAGAGAAUGGAAAGAAGGGAGGGCAGGUGGGGACUGAGGGCCAAGUUUCCAGUCUGCUGCAGUGGCAGCUGGUUCUGUCCUGCUUCUUGCAACAGAAGACUAGGGAGGAGGCACACACUUAAGCUCAGCCAAAUGGCUGGUCAGCUGAUUCUCAGAAGUCAGUCAGGUGAAUGGGCCUUGACAGACCUUCCCCCCAGAGUGAGGGAUCACUUUAGAAGGCAGGUGCAAGCCAAGGACUCUGCUUUGUUGAUACUGAUAUGGAGGCAAGAGGAAAUGCUUUUAGAAAUUUUUAACUAGUGCUUUUGUGUGUGUGUAUGUCUUUAAAAAAUAAAUUUACCCCGUUUUUUCUCCUAACAUUUUUUUCUGAAAAUUUUCAAAUCUCUGGCAAAGUGGAAAAAAUUUUACAGUGAAAACACAUAUACCUACCACCUAGUUUACUAGCAUUUUAAUGUACAUGCUUUAUCAAAUAUCUGGCUAUCCAUCUAGCCAUAUGUUAAUUCAUCUUAUUUUUGAUGCAUUUCAAAAAAUGUUGUUAGGUGUCUUUGAGUUGGUUUUGAAUCAUAGCAACCCUGUGUACAACAGACCGAAAUGCUGCUUGAUGCUGCACCAUCCUCACAACUGUUGCUAUGUUUGAGCCCAUUGUUGCAGCCACUGUGUCAGUCCAUCUUGUUGAGGGUCUUCCUCUUUUUUGCUGACCCUCUGCUUUACCAAGCAUGAUGUCUGUCUCUAGGGACUGGUCCCCCAUAAUAACAUGUCCAAAAUAAGUGAGAGUCUCACCAUCCUCAUUGCUAAGGAGCAUUCUGGCUAUACUUCUUCUAAGACAGAUUUGCUUGUUUUUCUGGCAGUCCAUGGUAUAUUCCUUGGUCUAUUCAUAUAGUCCACAUUCAAUAUACUUGGCCUAGUGGUUAAGCACUCAGCUGCUAACCAAAAGGUCAGCAGUUUGAACCCACCAGCCACUCCACGGGAGUAAAAUAUGGCAGUCUGCUUCUAUAAAGAUUACAGCCUAGGAAACCUGAUGGGGCAGUUCUGUUCUGUUCUGUUCUACAGGGUUGCUAUGAGUCCGAAUUGACUCGAUGGGAAUGUAAUUUCAAAAAAUACUUUCCCCUGAAUGCUUCGGCAUUGUAAGUUCAGUGUUUAUUUACACUUUUUUUUUCCUUUUGAGGUACAAUGGAAUGCCCAAAUCUUAAGUGUUCUACACUGUCUUCUGAAUGAUGUAUUUUCUAUCAUUUUGUCAGAUUUUACAAAACUAAACAAAGCUUCUGGUUAGUCACAUAAUUGCUAUAAAUUAUUUAAGAAGUGCACAUUAUUAAAUUGAGAAUGAGCACGUUAUAAGCAUAUUGGAAAGAUUGUUUGGAGAGGAUGUUCACUGCAACACAAAGUUCAUGCCCUGCCCUCUUGCCCCUGCCCUCCCCUCUUACACACACAUGAGAGAGAAGAAAGUGUAGAAAUUAAUGGUGAAGACUUUUUUCAAGAUCCAAGUGUGAAAGCCAAGCUAAAAGGUGACCUCUAGUUUUUGCCAUUUGCAACCACAUUCUUCCACCUUUCCAUUUCUUAAAUUCAAGGAUGUGGUGAAACCCAUGUGAAAUUGUACACUACAGAUUACUAUUAGUAAAAACAAGCCCAUGUGUACCUGGCUUAUUGGAUAAUCCACCCCUGCCCCACCUGUGACUGACAGAAAUGUAUAUACUAGACUAGGGCCAUUUUGUCAAAACGGUACCUAUUUGGUACCCAUUGACCCAUUUCUUGUUUGGAUAAAGAAAUGAAGAAACAAUUGGAUCGUGUGAACUAUUUCUAAAUUAGUUUAAGAGAACUGGUGAUCAAACAAAAUAUGUAGAAUAAACUUUUAAUCCAAAGGUAGUGACCUGAAAUGGAAGUAUCACCUUUUCAUGAGAGGAAAUGUGCCCAUGAAGAGUUACACUCCUUUUAUUAAUGGGGAUAUGGUCACUGUUUAAACCACAAACAAACAAAAAAAGCCCAGCAGCAUUUCUUGGGUAUAGUUACUCAUCUUAAAUGUUGCAAAAUACCCAAGGAAGGAAAAACCAGAAAAAGAAAGGGGGGAUAUUGGUGGUUUAAAAAAUACAGUGACUAACUGACUUGCGCUGACUAAUAUCAGUGAACUCAUAAUGAGUAACAAUAGUGAAUUUAGAAGGGAUAUAAGUAGAAGGAGAACUAUUUAAAGGUUACUUUAGUAUAAAGGGCAGCUGAAUUGGUAAUAACUAAGGGUUCCCUCUGGGAGAUUUGGAAGUAAUUCUUUUUACCCCUAAAAAGUUCUGUCUCUUACCUAAAGGAGUCAUCUUGGAGAAGUUAUAUAGAGCUCUUUCAAGUAUGGCUCCUUUUCUACUUCAUCCUGGCUGGGUGGGGGGAUUCUUGGCAGAUAAGCUUGCUUGUGGUUUUGCGUUGAAGAAAUACCAUUGCUGUGCAGUGGUAAGCAUGAACAAACAGUUGAUUAAAAUAAUAAUAAUAAGGUUGGUGGUGAUUUCUGUGAGCUGGAGAUACAAAAGUUUUGUUUGAAUUUAUUUUUUAGGUUUUGUUUCCUUAUCAUGGUAUAAAAUUAUAAGAACUGACCAACCAUCCUUUUUAUAAACAAAGAGACUUUUUUUUUUAAUGAAAGAGCAUAGUAUAUAAACAGCAAAAUGCAACUGACCAAAAUGUAUAAAGACAGGAUACUCCAUUCUAGAAUUUUUAAUUAUCUGAGUGUUUAUCAGAAAAUGUUUUGUUUUUUGUUCUUGUAGAAAAUAUUUUAAAAUGUUAAUGUAUUUUUCUUGAAACACCUUUUUCCUAACCCCACUUGACCCCAGACUAAGGACUUGACUGUCUUUUUCUAUCAUAGCAUCUGUCUUGCUUUUAUUGACACAGGAUAUUCACUUGUGUCUUGUCCCUUUUAGACUUAAACUUUUGACACUGUGUGGGUCAUUAUUUUAAUACCAGAGCCUAUAAUUCAGUGUGUGUAAUGUAGUAGGUAUGUAUUUGUUCAAAGAAAUAUUCAGGUCAUAAAUUAAAGAUGGGUUUAUCUAGCUGUGUCUUGGGGAUUAUGAUGUCAUUUAUUGUUUUAUCUUGAAAAAGAUAUCAAACUAUGCUAAACCUAGGAUAUGCCUGCAUAUUUAAUUUUUAUCUAAAAUAUUUAAAUAAGCUUAUUUUCCUGUUCUGUUUUCUUUAUCCCUCAUUAUUUAGAAUUUCUAGUGACUUAGGUCACUGUUAAAUGUUUAUAUAUAUUUGGAAGAUAAUCUGAGUUAUUAAUUUGGAUAAAGCUUUGGAUAAGUAAUUUUCCUCUUUUAGUAUUUAUGUAAUGUGUGGUAAAUAAAUAUGAAAAUAUCUUGAAGUGUGAGUUUGAAUAGCAUGAAUAGGGAAAACAAAGCCUCAGGUUUUCUUGAUAUCUGAAGGUCUUUGAGCAAUUAAUUGAAUGGGAUAUUUAUUUAAAUAAGUUUAAAUCCAUAGGCAAGUUGAUGAACAGUUUAGUUUGUUUGGUAAGAAAUUUAAUGGUUUAGAAAUAAUAAAUUUGAAUUCUUCCUAAAGCAUGUAUUAUGAAAUUUUCCUCGGUUUAAUUUCAGUUCAGCACGAAAAAGUGUAUCUUUGCUUUUAAAGUUGCAGUUAACUUUGUCUUAAAUUUAACAGCCCUAUUGUUCAGAGAUAGAGGUGCUGAGAACAGAUUUACUCAAUGCCUUUCCCUUAAAAGGAAAUCCUGGUGGAGUAGUGGUUAAGUGCUAUGGCAGCUAACCAAAAGGUCGGCAGUUCGAAUCCACCAGGCGCUCCUUGGAAACUCUAUGGAACAGUUCUACUCUGCCUAUAGGUAUAGGGUCAGUAUGAAAGUUGACUUGACGGCAACGGGUUUGUUUCCCCCCCCUCCGCCUUAAAACUGGUGGUAAAUUUAGAUGAAGUUGCUAGCGCCAGAAAACACCAUACUGUAGACCUUUGUGAUAUAUUUAGGAAUAAUUUCACUUAAGAAUUUUGCUUUCACAAUUAGAGCAAAUUGUUUUUAAAAGGAAAUAAGUUUUUAAAUCCAAUCUGGUUAUAGCAUUCUACUCAUCAGAGGUUUUUUUUUUUUUUUUUUUUUUUAAACGUGAGGGUGAAAAAUGAAUGUAAAGAAAGGGAUUUAUAUGAACAUUUGGCUUGAAAAUUGACUAAGACCUUUUUUUGCUUACCACCUUAUUCCAAAUGGAGGGUGUUUUUAUGCCUUCUGGUUUUGGCUAGGGCGAGAUAUUAUAAGUAUUGUCCCUCUUAUGAAGAAUCAGUAUUUCCAGUUAAUUCCGAAGUACUGUAAGUGCCUAUUUGGUAAAAUUCAGAGACUGGAUGUUUUUCAGUCUAAAUGUUGAACUUUAGAAAUAUGUUAACGGUAUGACUCAGUUUUCAUUUUGACAUGUAAGACCCUGAACGGGUUCAAUCCUGAUUUUUCUUUUUUAAUUCUUAUUAGUGAUGCUUGGAAUGUCUUUCCUAAAAUGCAAUGUCAGUAUUGAAAUGGAACCUGAUGCCUUGGGUUUAAUAGAACUUUUCAACAAAGAGAAAUGGCAAGCAGAGGAGUAUGGAUGAUAAGAAUAUUUUAUCAGGGGGCUAUCGAAUGGACAAGGAAAAAUAGCAGAUAACUAAAAUUCCCCACGACGAGUGAACAAUUGCUGUUUGGCCUUAACUUCAGAAAGAACCUAGGUUUUUCGUUUUGACAUAAAAACAAUCUAGAAGCAAUUAUUCCGUAUCAUUUGAGUUACAGAGGUCAGUGGGGUGUUUGUCAUCAGAAAGAGUGGAAAGCAUUUGUUCACUCCUUAUUCAAAGGAGUUCUCUGGAUUUCAUGUGGUUUUAAAGUUUGCAGAAGGGUGGAAAGUUUUCACGUUGGUCAACUCUAAAGAAAAUGGGUUGCUGCAGACAGUGGAGCUAAUAAUGGUGGCACAAAGUAAAGGAUCAGUAAAUAUGUCAAAUGACUGGAUCAAUAAACCUUAUCUUGAAAUUCCGGAAUGAUAGUUAAGCUUGAAUCUUGAGACACUACAAGAAAAUAAAGCAAGCAUUGUUUUAUACAGUGAGGGUCAAAUCAUAGACUCUUAUGCAGAAGGUGUGGUACCCAUUGAAACUAUAAAGUAGGCUGGGGGAAAAUUGAUUCAGGUGAGGGGGAUGAUCCUAAAACCAAACCUACUGCCAUCGUGUCCAUUCUAACUCAUAGUGACGCUAUAGGAUAGAAUAAAACUGCCCCGUAGGGUUUCCAAGGCUGUAAAUCUUUACAGAAGUGGACUGCCACAUCUUCCUCCCACGGAGUGACUGGUGGAUUUGAGCUGUCAGCCUUUUGAUUAGCAACUGAGUGCUUAAACCAUUGUGCCACCAGGACUCUGAGGAAUGAUAACCAAACCAAACUCAACCAAACCCACUGCCAUUGAGUUGAUUCCAACUCAAAAUGACUAUAGGAAAGAGUAGAACUGUCCCAUAGGAUUUCCAAGGCUGUAAUCUUUACUGAAGCUGACUGCCACAUCUUUCUUCUGUGGAGGGACUGGUGGUUUCAAACUCUCACCCUUUGGUUAGCAGCCCAGUGCAUUAACCGAUGCGCCACCAGGGCUCUCUGAGGGAUGAUCCAAAAACCAAAUGAAACCAGACCCGUUGCUGUUGAGUCAAUUCCAACUCAUUCCGACUCAGAGACCCCAUAGGACAGAGUAGAACUGCCCUAUAGGGUUUGUAAGGAGCAGCUGGGGAAUUUGAACUGCCAAUCUUUUGGUUAGCAUAGCAACCAUAACUCACCGUAGCUCUUAACCACUGUACCACCAGGGCUCCCUGAGAGAUGAUCACAAAAAAAACCAAACCCAUUGCUGUCAAGUCAAUUCUGACUCAUAGCAACCGUAUAGGACAGAGUAGAAUUGCCUUAUAGGGUUUCCAAGGAGCGCCUGGUGGAUUCCAACUGCCGACCUUUUGGUUAACAGCUGUAGCACUUAACCACUCCGCCACCAGGGUUUCCCUGAGGGAUGAUAGAUGUGCGAAAAGAGGUGUCACAUCACCUCGCUGGUCACUGAAGAAAAUAGGGUGCCAUCUAGUGGACUCAUUUCACUAUCACUGACCAAGUUGAGUAUUUCAGUCAACAUUAUUUUAGAAGAUUUAGAUUCUUAAUAAAAUAAUGUCACAAUUUGUUUUCUUUCUCAGAGAAUUUAUUGUUUUUUACUUUUUAUUUUGAGAUAAUUUUACAUUUAUGGAAAAUUUACAAAAAUAGUACAGAGAGUUCCUAUAUACCUUUCACGCAGUUUCCUCUGUUAACGUCUUGCGUUAUCCAUGGAGCACUUAUCAAAACCAGGAAAUUAACAUUGGUACAGAACUACUAAGUAAAUUCCAGACUUUGUUUGGAUUUCAUCAGUUUCCCACUAAUGUCCUUAUUCUGUUCCAAAUCCUGGCCAGGAUCCCACCGUGCUUUUAGUCAUCAUGUCUCCUUAGUCUUCAAUCUGAGACAGUUCCUUAGUUCAAAGAGUGUUUAUUAAAAACGCUUCUCUAGGGAUUGUGGCUGUUGUAAAAUACAUUUGAAAAUACAGGAGACUAAAAAAAAAAAAAAAAAGAAAGAGUAUUUAUAAAAUAAAAAUUUUGAUUAGAAUUAUUUAUCCUGCCUGUGCAAUUGCCCGACGGUCUUUUUUUUUUUUUAAAAGUUAUUCCUUUAUUUCUUAAAAGAGAUUAGUUUCAGUGAAGCAGUCAUGCAUUUCAGGAUUACAAAAUUAACAUUAUUAGUUUCUCAUUUUGGAAUUAUGACCUUUAAAAUUAAAGAUCUUUACCUUUUUGUGAUGACUAGAAAGAAGAAAAGAAUAAAAACUAAACAGAAUUUCGAGUCUUGAGGCUUGUGAUUACUUGGAUUCCAUUAUUUGUAAUGCUCAUUAACACAACAUAUAUGGCUUUAUAAUUUUUUAUUGAAUAUUAAAGGAGAAACAAAGUAGAAGAUUUACAAAUGCAAAGAAAUUAUUGUGACAGAAAAUUUGUUAUGUCUAGUAUCAUUUUAUAAAUAAAAAUAUUGGUUAAAGAGGAUUGUCUGAAGUUAAAAGGUAGGUUAAUAUGCCUCUUAAUAGCAGCAUUAAGCAUUAAAAUACCAAUCAAAAAAGUAAAAUGUAGGACUGAAUCAUUGAGCAAUCAGAAUUAUUAUAAUUUUGGCAUAAUUUUUGUCAUUAUUGACCCAAAUUAUUUUUAUGGUAACAACUUUCUCAAAAGUUGGCUGCAAAAGAAGAUAAAUACAAAUGGCUGGAAAUAAUUUUUUUUUUUAUUUCAUGAUUUUUCUUUAAUGCUCAGAUGAUCUUCAUUUAUUCCUGUACAGGCUUUUUGUCUUUGCAAAAUGCUUUAUAAGUUUUACUUGUUCUGAAAAGUUGUGAGAGGUAGGAAAUAAUCUUUUACACUUUUCUCAUUUGACUUAAAAGGAAAUUGAACCAUAGGGGAUUUUUAUAUUUUGCCUUAAUUGGAACAGCAGUCUCAUGCACACUGGCAGGUAGAAAAAAGGGCAACAGAUUACAAUAUAAUUGAAAAGUAAACCUCAUUUUGCCAACAUAUUUUUUAUUAUGACGGUAACUGAAAUUUUAAAGUGAAAGAUCUCCCAGAAUUACACUGCUUAAUAAAUCGAAUGUUUUGUUUUUUAAUAAUUGGUGUCUGAAAUACAAAUCAGUGCUUUCAAGUGCUCCCAAAAUAUUUGCAAUAUUUAAUCAGUGUAUAUAUUUAUGUAGGGUUUUAAGAAAUAGGUUGAACUAUCUGUUCUAAGAUUUCUAAACUAACAUUUAACUGCCUUGUAUACAGAAAUAAGUAGGUCUGUUACAAAUUUUAUUGUUAAAAAUAAGAAUGAUUUUUGGCCCUUAAACAACAUCAUAAUUUUGUUGCCCCCAGUUAGUAUAAUGAUUUGAAGAAUCCGUAUUUAAUUUAGAACAUGCUGUAUAUGAGUGAUGAGAAUAACAAAGCACAGUCUUAUUUUAUUCACGUUAAGGCUUUGUUCCUCUGAAUAUUGCUUUUUGCACUAUGUGAUUCUUCCCUGAAUCUAAUGACUAUGGUAAACUCUUGUGUACCUGAAAGCAGCAGAAAGGCCUGGAAUUUCCACAGAGGAUGUUUCCUUUAGCGCCUCUCCACACCCACCUUUCCCAAGUCAACUAGAAGAGAUGUGGUGAUGUUGUAUGAAGUGAAACUGCCUCCAAAACAAAGAGGAAUGACUUGGCCAGGGCCUUAGCCAACAAAGCUACCUUCUUCAGAAAACUUAUCAUUGGGUUGAUGUUGGCAUGAGGAUGAAUGUGCCUUGAUUCCAAGAUGCCAUCAGUCCUUUUAGUCAUAGUAAACCCAUAAAGUAGCCAAACCGUAGAGGCAUGUCUGCUUUCCCAGAACAUUUAUCUUGACUGCAAGAUACAAAUGUGUUGCUUUUCUUGGAUUGUGUAAUUGUGCCUUCUGUAGUUUUUUCUCAGCACGUUUUAAUUUUUGUCUUUACCUUAUAUGCAUACUCAAUUAUUUGAAAGUUAAAACAAAUUUAAAAUAGCAUUGCUUGCCUUUAAGCUAACGUAGUGAAAUAGAAUAAUUAGUCUGUCUUUUAGGUUUCCCACAUACUAUUGGGAACCCUGUUCUCUCUCCUUUCAUUUCCUCACCCCCAGGCAACCCAGCCCCCCUCAUGUUUGUCAGCAGUCUGUCAGUUUGUCCUACUGUGGGGCUUGCAUGUUGCUGUGAUGCUGGAAGCUAUGCCACUGGUAUUCAAAUACCAGCAGGGUCACCCAUGGCAGACAGGUUUCAGCUGAGCUUCCAGACUAAGACAUACUGGGAAGAAGGACCCGGCAGUCUACUUCGGAAAAGAUUUAGCCAGUGAAAAUCUUAUGAAUAGCAGCAGAACGUUGUUUGAUGUAGUGCCAGAAGAUGAGCCCCUCAGGUUGGAAGGCACUCAAAAGACGACUGGGAAAGAACUGCCUCCUCAAAGUAGAGUCCAACUUACUGACGUGGGUGGAGUCAAGCUUUCGGGACGUUCAUUUGCUGAUGUGGCACAACUCAAAAUGAGAAGAAACAGCUGCAAAUAUCCAUUAAUAAUCAGAACGUGGAAUGUACGAAGUAUGAAUCUAGGAAAAUUGGAAGUCAUCAAAAAUGAAAUGGAAUGCAUAAACAUUGAUGUCCUAGGCAUUAGUGAGCUGAAAAGGACUGGUAUCGGCUAUUAUGAAUUGGACAAUCACAUGGUCUACUAUGCCGGCAAUGACAACUUGAAGAGGAAUGGAAUUGCAUUCAGUCAAAAAGAACAUUUUAAGAUCUAUCCUGAAGUACAGUGCUGUCAGUGAUAGGAUAAUAUCCAUAUACCUACAAGGAAGACCAGAAAAUAUGACUAUUAUUCAAAUUUAUGCACCGACCAUUACAGCCAAAGAUGAAGAAAUUGAAGAUUUUUAUCAACUUCUGAAGUCUGAAAUUGAUCGAACAUGCAAUCAGGAUGUGUUGGUAAUUAUUGGAGAUUGGAAUGCAAAAGUUAGAAACGAAAAAGAAUCGGUAGUUGGAAAAUAUGGCCGUGGUGACAGAAAUGAUGCUGGAGAUGGCAUGAUAGAAUUUUGGAAGACCAACGACUUCUUCACUGCAAUACGUUUUUUCAUCUACAUAAAUGGUGACUGUACGUGUGGACCUCGCCAGAUGGAAUACACACAGGAAUCAGAUUGACUACAUCUGUGGGAAGAGACGAUGGAAAAGCUCAAUAUCAUCAGUUAGAACAAGCCCAGGGGCCAAUUCUGGAAUUGCCUAUAUGCAAGUUCAAGUUGAAACUGAAGAAAAUUAGAACAAGUCCACAAGAGCCAAAGUACGACCUUGACUAUGUACCACCUGAAUUUAGAGACCAUCUCAAGAAUAGAUUUGACGUGUUGAACACUAAUGACCAAAAACCAGAUGAGUUGUGGAAUGACAUCAAGGACAUCAUACAUGAGGAAAGAGGUCAUUAAAAAGAUAGGGAAAAAAGAAAAGACCAAAAUGGAUAUCAGAAUAGACUUUGAAACUUACUCUGAAAGUUGAAUACCUAAAGCAAAAGGAAGAAACAAUGAAGUAAAAGAGUUGAACAGAGGAUUUCAAAGGGUGACUCCAGAAGACAAAGUAUUAUAAUGACAUGUGCAAAGACCUGGAGACGGAAAACCAAAAGGUAAGAACAUGCUCUGCAUUUCUUAUGCUGAAAGGACUGAAGAAAAAAUUCCAGCCUCAAGUUGCAAAAUUGAAGAAUUCUAUGGGGAAAAUACUAAACUACUUGGGAAGCAUCAAAAGAACAUGGAAGGAAUACACAGAGUCACUCUACCAAAAAGAAUUGGCUGACGUUCAACCAUUUCAGGAGGGACCAUAUGAGCAGGAGCCAAUGGUACUGAAGGAAGAAGUCCAAGCUGCACUGAAGGCACUGGAGAAAAACAAGGCUCUAGGAGUUGUCGGAAUACCAGUUGAGAUGUUUCAACAAAUGGAUGCAGCCCUGGAAGCACUCACCUGUCUGUGCCAAGAAAUUUGGAAGACAGCUACCUGGCUAACCGACUGGAAGAGAUCUAUAUUUAUGCCUAUUCUCAAGAAAGGUGACCCAACCGAAUGUGGAAAUUAUUGAACAAUUUUUUUUUAUCAUUAAUAUCACAUGCAGGUAAAAUUUUGUUGAAGAUCAUUCAAAAACAGCCGCAGCAGUACGUCAACAGGGAACUACCAAACAAAUCUGUCUUGAAAGAAGUACAACCAGAGUGCCCCUUAGAAGCAAGGAUGGAUAUCGAGACUAAGUCUCACAUACUUUGGACAUGUUAUCAGAAGGGUUCAAUCCCUGGAGAAAGGACAUCAUGCUUGGUAAAGUGAGAGGGUCAGCAAAAAAGAGGAAGACCGUCAAGGAGAUGGAUUGACACAGUGGCUGCAACAAUGGGCUUAAGCAUAAUGGUUGUAAGGACAGCGCAGGACCGGGCAGUGUUGUGUUCUGUUGUGCAUCGGGUCACUAUGAGUUGGAACUGACUCAAUGGCACGUAACAACAACAAUAACAAGGCAACCCAGUUGGGCCACUGGAGGCUUUAAGUUUCCUCUCACCCGAUGCUGCGUUUGCUGACAGAAAUAAAUUAGUGUGCAGUAUUUAUUCAUGUAUUGAACAAUAUCGUUAAUAUCACACGCAAGUAAAAUUUUGUUGAAGAUCAUUCGAAAGCAGCUGCAGCAGUAUUACAACAGGGAACUGCCAGAAAUUCAGAAGAGGACGUGGAACCAGGGAAAUCACUGCUGAUGUCAGACUGAUCCUGGCUGAAAACAAAGAAUACCAGAAAGAUGUCUACCUGUGUUUUAUUGACUGUGCAAAGGCAUUUGACUGUGUGAAUCGUAACAAAUUACAGAUAACAUUGCGAAGAAUUGGAACUCCAGAACACUUAAUUGUGCUCAUGAGGAACCUGUACAUAGAUCAAGAGGCAGUUGUUCGAACAGAACAAGGGGAUACUGAGUGGUUUAAAGUCAGGAAAAGGUGUGCAUCAGGGUUGUAUCCUUUUACUAUACCUAUUCAAUCUGUAUGCUGAGCAAAUAAUCCAAGAAGCUGAACAAUAUGAAGAAUGGGGCUAUUAUCCCUUUAAGGUAAAAUUCUUGAAACUUAACGGAACCCUUGGGGAGGUAACACCUGAAAGCUAAAAAACCGAAAACCAAACCCACUGCCAUCGAGUCGAUUCUGACUCAUAGCAACCCUACAGGACAGAGUAGAACUGCCCCAUAUAGUUUCCAAGGAGUGCCUGGUGGAUUCGAACUGCCGACCUUUUGCUUAGCAGCCAUAAUAGCACUUAACCACUACGUCACCAGGGUUUCCCCUGAAAGCUAAGGGUGGGUAAUUUUAGGCUUGCGAGCAUUCGAGCAAGUGAACAUUUUGCUACUGCUCAGUCGUUACCACACCACGGGUGACCCUGCCAAUGUCUGAUCACAUGAGAAACAUGCAAAGUAAAUCUUGUAAAAACUAUAUAUAUAUAUAUGGUCUUCUCUGGAAUACAGGAAACAAGCAUGUUUCAGGCUAAUGAAUGAAAGGAGGCUUUCCAAAUAAAUCCAUUUACGCAAUGUACUAGAUCAUAUUAUGUCUUGUGAACUGAACAUAUUCCAAAGGAAAUUGGAGAAAUAAAGUAUUUGCCUAUUCAGGUGUAUACUUCUAGAAUUUUUUUAAAUAUCUUUUUGCAUAUGUUUAUUAGAGACUGGAUUCUUAAAUAAUUUUAAGUUAAUGGCUAGGAGGACUGAGAUUACUUUUCACCAACCUCCAGAUUAUAUUUUGACAAUUUGAGUUUCUCAUUAAGUGUUUUCAGUAACAUUUCGGCUUCCUUUGUAUGUUUCUUCUAAGUUGAAAAAACUAAUUGGUUCUUAUAGUCGUUAGUAGUUAAACAUCUGUAUUUUAGAAGAAGCCUUUUAAAAUUGUAUAAAUUGUACUUUUUAUAGACAGGUCCAAAGAAAUGAGUUGGCAUGAGAAAAGAGGGGUUCAUGAUCCCCUUAGAAAUAUUGAGAGAUGAAGUUUCACUUUGCAGACACUUCAUUCAUUAGUACAAACCCACUUAUUUUCUUUUUAUCGACUUCCAAUGUAGGUGCUUUGGCUACAGUGAGUUCUCCAGUUUUUUAAAGUGGACUUUUAUUAUUGCAAACCAGGGACACUUCAAGUGGUUAAUAGAACAAGGCUGUUGUAGAGCAGUGAGUUGAAACUGUUUCCUAGAUUGGUGAUUAUUGUAUGCUUUUGAAUCCUUACGUUCUGUGAGCGAAUGGUCUCUUUAUAUACUUUACCAUUCUUUGUGCUUAAUAAAUGUUAAAUAUUCUAGCCACAUUGAAUUCCCAGUACAUGUAGUAUUACCAAACCUAUAGGAAGAAUUUGUACAGCGUUCAAUGAAUAGUAAGGUUUUCUUUGUAUGGGAAUUUAUGAAAGAUGUAUUUUUCUUCAUGUACUCUAAAUACUUUAUGCCUUUAAGGCUGGUCUUGGCUGCACUUUGUUUUCAUGGCUCUUCCUCCGUUGUUAUUUGAGGAUGUUAAAUGGUAUGUUAACUUGAUUACGAUUUGUAGAUAUCAUAAAGCUGUAUGUGAUUCUCCCAUCAUCAAUACUAAAUCGACACCCUUUUUUGAGCCUUGGAUUUUCUUUGUCUACAUGUUAUAUGCCUCAAUAAGGGCUAAGCAAGGAGGUUGAGAUUUUUAUGAAGUGCUGAGUCCAGGGUGGCCUUCCCACCAUCCACAAUGGGAAGCUAGCUGUUGACUCAAUACUGCAUUCAUCUUUUGUGAUUUUAAGAACCACAUACUUAACAAGAGAGAUCCCAGGCUGUAGGUAGAUUUAUUCUAUCUUAAGAUGAGUCUUUGGAAAUAUAAGAGGCUUAUGGCAUCUGGAAGAUCGAGUUAUGGAAAUUUGAUUAAAAGGCAAAGAGAGGAAAAAAUGUGGUCUUUCCUGUUUUGGGGUGAACAAGGUGUCUAGGGCAUUUUACUUUAAGCCUGCAUUAACUCAUUGUGUUAUUUUUUUUUAAACCCUGUUGCCUUCUUACGGUUCAGAGGAACCACAUAUUAGAAGGUCUGCAUAUUUGGUAAUAAAAUAUUUGGCCUAGAGUGAAAUAACAAUGAUUUCUGUUUCAAAAGAGGACGGUGUUUUAGAGUUUGCUAGAUUCAACCCGUCCCUGCUUUUUGUAAACAAAUGGAGAAACUGAGUCCCUCAAGGUGUGACAUGCUUAAAAGUUGUAUAAUAACUGAAGUAGUACAUGGUUAUUUAAAAAGUGGAGAUGAGAUAGGCUUCUUAUACUUGAUUAGCACCCUCUUGAAGAGAAAUACUUUUGCUCAGAUUUGUGAGUAUUCACCUUCUGAUUAUAUUACUUAGGUCUGUCUUUCUUUAUUGUUAAACUUAAAUUGAAAAAAUAUAUGUUGCUUUUAAAAUGGAGGGUUUUAGAAGCAUUUAGAUCUAUCCCUUUGGUUUAGGCAAAAUUAGCCAGCCAAUUUCAGACUUGCCUUUUGGAAAGCUUAAGUAUAUGAGCACAGUGUUGAAGUGCUUGGCUGCGAACUGUAAGAUCAGCAGUUUGACCCCGCUAGCUGAUUCGUGGGAGAAAAGACCUGGUGAUCUGCUCCCAUAAAGGUUACAGCCUAGGAAACCUAUGAGGCAGUUCUACUCUUUCCUUACAGGGUUGCUAUGGGUCAGAAUUGACUAGACUAUAUAUAAACCAACCCACUGCUGUCGAGUCGAUUCCGACUCGUAGCAACCCUAUAGAACAGAGUAGAACUGCCCCAUAGAGUUUCCAAGGAGCGCCUGGCGGAUUUGAACUGCAGCCUCUUGGUUAGCAGCCGUAGCAGUUAACCACUAUGCCACCAGGGUUUCCAGACUCUCUGUGUGUGUGUGUGUGUGUGUGUGUGCGCGCUUGAAGUUUCUGUCAAAUCACAUCUUGCAGAAAACGUCUGAAAGCUGCUUUUCAUUUAGUGGUUAAAUUAGGAUGUUUCUGAGGAAGAGGGUGUGACCUCCUAAUUUGGGUUGUCCAUCUGUCCCUGGUGCUCCCUUUGCUUGCCGGGUCUGCCUUUCAUCUCUCUCUGAAGCAUUGAGCUCCCUGUGUCCUGACUGAUUGCUUUUUGGUGCUCUUCUCUUCCCAAGUGCCUGUACUCCUGGAGGACAUCAAGCCUGGGUGCUCAGGGCCAGAUGGGGCACCCCACAAGGCAGUCCCCUCACCCCCGCACUGGAGAUUCACAUUCAGCUGAUUCCUUGGCUAGAAUCUCCUCUGGAGAUUUCUAAUCUAUAUUAAAAAAAAAAAUAGCCAGGGUUAACAGUCCUUAUAUUAAUGAGUGAAGGGACAGGGGGAGGGAAGAAAGCUCAGAAAGUGACAUGGAUGAUACAAACUCAGGAUCCACUUUUGAGAUCAAAGGAGAAUGUGAGAGGUUUUCUCAUACCUUCUCAAGCACAUCAUUCGUUGAACACCUUUUGUGUUCAACAGGCUCUGAAAUGGUAUUACCACCUUUUAUCCUUACUGAAGCACUGUAAACAAGAGAUUAUUGGUUUUAUAUUAGAGACGAGGCCAUAGGCACUUAAGGGAGGUAUUCAAUCACUUGCCAAGGUCAUGUAGGUAGUAAAUGAUAGAAGGUAGCCAUGAUCCUCACUUGUCUGAUUUCACCAAACCAUAGCAAGAACAAAACAAAACAUUGAGAUGGAUGCAUGUCAAUAUGAAUAACAAAAUAAUGAUUUUUCAGUGCACAUUUUUAAUUUUGCAGAAUUUUUGUCUAAGACUGAGAUUAUAUAUCUAUGUUAAAAAAUUUUUUUCUGAGGUCCCACAAUAUGCUAGUCCCUGUUUUAGGUGCUGGGGAUACAGCAGGGAGCAUAUAUAAAAAUAAGUGAUGUUUUUAUCAGAUUCUGAGAUAGAACUUGAAGCUUUAUCUGUGCUUAUUUCAUCACGUCCUUUCUUCACAGGCAAGUCAUUGAAACAUAGAACCCGAGAUUAAUUGUUGUCAUUUUUCCAUUGACUCACAGACUUACUGAGCUAACAGUAUUUCUGAGGUUACUUAGCCAGCUCUUAAGGGUCUAGGGGCAUGCAAACCUAAACUGUGCUGUUACUGAUAAUUUCCAAAGAGGAUGAUUUCAUUAAGCCUUUGUGGUAGCUGCUGCUUUAGCUUUAGAAUGUUACCUCUUGUGAUGACGAUAAAUUAUUUUUGCCCCACCAGCAUUGGCGGGUAUGAAUUUUGAGUUUUAAACUGAAUACAUAAAAGAAAACAUUAAAAAAAAAUCUUAAAUUCCAUACCCUUAACCAAAUACAGCACUUUCAGUGGUUAUGAAAUGAUGAGCAAAAGCCCAGGCAGGUUGUCCAGACCUGUUCGGUACUGAUGUGGCCUGAAUCCUACCCACUGUGGUAUCAACUCUGGACAGUCACUCCUGCUUCCUGUCCCAAAUCUAUUGGUCAGUUAACCUCACUUUGCAAUGUGGUUUAGAAGCUUUUGGGAACAUCUUCUCUUCUAGUAGUUAUCUCAGUCACCUUGUAGGUGACUCUAUUUUGUUUUUCUUGCAGAAAGCUCUAUGCUUUAUAUAGAAUUGCAUUCUGAUGUUUUGUUCAUCUGUUGAUUGUUAGGGUUAACAGAGCCUGACCUGCUAUUAUAAUAGAAUUAUCAGUUAGUGGGCUAUAGACUUGAGCUGGUUUUAUUUAAACCCUCCCAUGUGGUAAUUUGCCAUCUUCAAAGCUUAAAUGAUGGCCGCUUAUCAAGUCUCAGAUUUUUGUGAUUGUUUCUACGCCUUGAAAAAGUAUAAGGGAAAAACAGACAAUUUAAAUACUUCCCAUCAAGAGGACGCCAGUUGUCAGGGAAACAUCUCCCAAAAGAAUAACUUAUCAAACCUUUAUAGAAAUUUCCCAUUAAAAGUGUCUCACUCAUUGCCUGCUCUGCAGAACUUCCUGGUUUAUUAAGCAGAGAGCUCCUGCUCUCUGGAGUUUUUAUGUUAGUUGCUAGGUCCUGUUUCAGGGCCUUCUUGGAUCCAGGGUUAUCUCCCCUGCAGUAUCUCAGUCAUGCUUGGCUUGAGUCACUUCACAGUGGCUCCUUCAUUUUGGUCUAACAAAGCACUCCUGGCUAGAAUCAUUACUUCUUUCAAUGUCCAUUCUUCAUCUAGCUCCUUAAAAAAAAAAUACUAAAUUGACGUUCUCCACAUACCUCCCUGUGAUUGUGCUUCAGGUGUAGGGAAGAAAAAAAAGUACUUUCUAGGUUGAGGAGUUAAACCAACAUGAAGUUCACUUAAUCACCAAAAGAUCACAUAUGAUAAUUCCCUGAUUUUCCGUUUUGAUCACUAUGACUGCGGGGAUGGUGAUGGUGGAGUGUGUCUUAGGAAGAUUUUUUUAAGGCUAUAUAUUUGUACUUCCUGCAUUUCUCUUUGGUAACACUCAUUUCCAUUUUAAUUACCUGUGUAAUUGUUUAAUAUCUGUAUCCCCCACUAAAGUUUAAAUUCCAUGAUGGCAGGAACUGUGUCACAUUGCCUCUCAUAUAGUUCAAUAUAUAGGCCAAUAAAAACUUUUUAUUUGUAGUGUACACAGCACUGUGCUGGGACCUUGGAACCUGGGCCAGUCACUUCCCGUAUCUAGACUACAGUCUCCUCAUCUAUGAAAUAAGGCCAUGAGUAGGGAGAUUUAUGAGGUUGCUUUCAGCUUUAUGAGUCUCAAUUUGUGUCUGACUAAAUGGGGGAAGCAUUGCAGCCAUUUGCAUGCCACAAUUUGUUUCCAAACCAAGGCUAACUCUAUUUAAGUGCCCUGCCUUGGGUUGGGAAAGACUGGCCCAUUGCUUUCCUGAGGCGCCCAUGCCAGAAUCUCAAGUCAUCUCCUUUGGGACAUCUGAGGGCAGUGUUUUCCAAACUUUUUUGGUAGCAGCUAAAUUCUCUUCAAAGGAAUAAAGAGUUAACAAUAAGACUUUCAGUUGUGUCGACAGAAGCCAUGCCAUGUCAGCACUUAACCUUGGCAUGGAAAUUUGUUGCAUGUAAGGAUGGAGGAAUUCCAGAAGGCAGAAUGGUUGAGAGGGCAGUUGAUCUAGUUGGAGAGGGGGGUGGAGACCUAGUGGCACUCCCUGGCCAGCUUUACAUUUAUCCUGACCCUCGCGCACCCCUGUCCUUUGGCCCUACCUCCAGCUCCAAAUUCCCAGCUCACUUCCUAGAACAUUUCAAAUCCUCUGCCCUGGCUUUCGAUGACUGUGGUAACUACAGUGGUGUGUGCGGGCCAGUCUCAGAAGCUGGUAUCCUGAAACUUACCACAUUAACACUAUCCCAGAGCCUCCCCCACAACUACCACUACUACCUGAUUGCUCCAAGAAGACUGGAAACCUCUCCGUGACAACCAGAAGGCCCUGUAUCAAAUAGUAUCUUCCCUAAUCCAGGAGGAUCAAAUAAUUGAAUCAAACUUGGGCAUUCAACAAAAACAUCUUACAGCUCCAAUUCCUGAAAGAAAUACAGCCUACCAAAACUCACCUAAGAUGAAGUAGAUAACCUGAAUAGCCCUAUAACCACUAAUAAAACUGGAUUCAUAGUUAAAAACCUUUUGAAAAAGAAAUCUCCAACUCAGAUUGUUUCGCUUGUAAAUUCUAACAAAUGUUUAAAGAACAAUUAACACCAAUUCUGUACAAUCUUUCAGGGAAGAAGAGGGAAAAUGCCCCAGCUUAUUUUAUGAGGCCAGCAUUACUCUGAUACCAAAGACAGAAACAGAUAAAAUAAAAAACCACUACCAACAACAAAAAAGCUAUAGGCCAAUACCUUCGUGAAUAUAGACAAAAAAAUCAUCAAAUGAUAUUAGCAAUGUUAGUUGUCAAGUUUAUGUGUGUAGAAUUGUUCAUAAUAUUCCCUUAUCUCUUUAAUGUCUGGAAUCUGUAGCAACGUCCCCACUUUCAUUUCUGUUGUUGGUAAACUGUGCCUUGUCUUUAUUCUCUACCAGUUUUGCUGGGGGUUUAACAAUUGUAUUGGUAUUUUCUAAGAGCCAGCUUUAGAUUUCAUCCAUUUUCUUCUCUUUUUCUGUUUUCAAUUUUAUUGAUUUAUUUUUCUCUUUAUUGUUAUUUCCUUCCUUUUGCUUGUUUUGGCCUUAUUUUCCUCAUUUUAUUUGUUUUUUAAGAUGAAAGCAUAGAUUAUUGAUUUGAGACCUUUUUUUCUAAUAUAGGAGCACUGGUGGCAUAAGGGUUAAGAGCUAUGGCUGCUAACCAUAGUUUGAUUCCACCAGCUGCUCCUUGGAAACCCUAUAGGGCAGUCCUACUCUGUCUAGGCUCCUUAUGAGUCCAAAUUGACGGCAACGGGUUUUUUUUGUUUGUUUUUCUAAUACAAACAUUUAAUUGUUAUAAAUUUCCCCAUAAGUAUCACUUUUAUCUGCAUCACACACAUUUUGAUGUAUUGUAUUGCCAUUCUGUUCUAUUCAAAAUAUUUUUUGUUUUCCUUUGAGACUUCUUUGACCCAGAUUAUUUAGAAUUGGAAAUGAUCCUUUUCUCUUUCUGUUGUUGAUUUCUAAUUUAAUUCCUUCAUGAUCAGAGGACAUACUUUGUAUUUCAAUUCUUUUAAAUCUGUUAAGGUUUGUUUUAUAAAUCAGGGUAUGAUCUAUUUUGGUGAAUGUCUCAUGUGCACUUCAAAAAAUGUAUACUCUGCUUUUGUUUUUUAGAAUGUUUUAUAAAUGGCUAUUAGGUUCAGUUGACUGGUGGUAUUUUCUGUCUGUUAUUGCCAUGAAUUGAAAUUGACUUGAUGGUAACUAACAACAAUAUUUUUAUCUGUUACUGAAAGAAAUAUUGAAGCCUUUAAGUAUAGUUGUAGAUUUAUCUAUUUCUCCUUUGGGUUCUGUCAGUUUUGUUUCAUGUAUUUUCAAGGUCUAUCGUUUGGUGCAUAUAUGCUUAGGAUUGUCAUGUCUUCUUGACAGAUUGACCCUUUUAUCAUUCUGGUUAUGUGCUUCUUUGUUCCAGGCAAUUGUCUUUACUUUGAAGUUCACUUUGUCUGAAAGCUACUACAGCUUUCUUUUAAACAGUGUUUACAUUUCCCAUCCUUUUACUUUUAAUCUUGCUGUUGAGUCAGACUUAUAGUGACCCUAUGUACAACAGAAUGAAAACUGCUUGGUCCUGCACCAUCCUCGCAAUCCUUGCUAUGUUUAAGCCCAUUGUUGGAGCCACUGUGUCAGUCCGUCUCGUCGAGGGUCUUCCUCUUUUUUGCUGACCCACUACUUUACCAAGCAUGAUGUCUUUCUCUAGGGACUGGUCCCUCUGUAUGUGAGAGGAAGUCUCACCAUCCUCACUUCUAAGGAGCAUUCUGGCUGCACUUCUUCUAGGACAGAUUUGUUCGUUCUUCUGGCAGUCCAUGAUUUAUUCAAUAUUCUUCACCAACACCAUAAUUCAAAGGGAUCAAUAAUUCUUCCCCCGUGCGUCUGUCAGUUUGUUGUACUGUGGGGACUUGCGUGUUGCUGUGAUGCUGGAAGCUAUGCCACUGGUAUUCAAAUACCAGCAGGGUCAUACAUGGUGGACAGGUUUCAGCUGAGCUUCCAGACUAAGACAGACUAGGAAGAAGGUCCCAGUGGUCUGCUUCUGAAAAGAAUUAGCCAGUGAGAGCCUUAUGAAUAGCAGCAGAAUACAGUCUGAUAUAGUGCUGGAAGAUGAGCCCCUCAGGUUGGAAAGCACUCAAAAGGUGACUGGGGAAGAGCUGCCCCCUCAAAGCAGAGUUGACCUCAAAGACAUGGAUGGAGUCAAGCUUUCGGGACCUUCAUUUGCUGAUGUGGCAUGACUCAAAAUGAGAAGAAACAACUGCAAACAUCCAUUAAUAGUCGGAACCUAGAAUGUACGAAGUAUGAAUCUAGGAAAAUUGGAAGAUGGGAGGGUAGAGAGGGUUAGAAACUGGCAAAACGGUCACAAAAGGAGAGACUGGAAGGAGAGAGCGGACAGACUCAUUAGGGGGAGAGUAAGUGGGAGUAUGUAGUAAGGUGUAUAUAAGCUUAUAUGUGACAGACUGACUUGAUUUGUAAACUUUCACUUAAAGCACAGUAAAAAUUAUUUUUUUAAAAAAAGAAAUGGAACGCAUAAAAGUGAGCUGAAAUGGACUAGUGUUGGCCACUUUAAAUCAGACAAUCAUAUGGUCUGCUGUGCCGGGAAUGACAACUUGAAGAGGAAUGGUAUUGUAUUCGUUGUCAAAAAGAACAUUUCAAGGUCUGUCCUGAAGUACAGUGCUGUCAGUGGUAGGAUAAUAUGCAUACGCCUACAAGGAAGACCAGUUAAAAUGACUAUUAUUCAAAUUUAUGCACCAGCCACCAAGGCUGUCUUAGUUAUCGAGUGCUGCCAUAACAGAAAUACCACAAGUGGAUGACUUUAACAAAGAGAAAUUUAUUUUCUCAGAGUCUAGUAGGCUAGAAGUCCAAAUUCAGGGUGUCGGCUCCAGGGGAAGGAUCUCUCUGUCUGCUCUGGAGGAAGAUCCUUGUCAUCAAUCUUCCCCUGGACUAGGAGGUUCUCAGCACAGGAAAUCCAGGUCCAAAGGACACACUCUGCUCCCAGCACUGCUUUCUUGAUGGUAUGAGGUCCCAAACUUUCUGCUAGCUUCCGUUUUAUCUCUUAUAAGAUAAAAGGUGGUGCAGGCAACACCCUAGAGAAAUUCCCUUUAUGUUGGAUCAGGGGUGUGACCUGAGCAAGGGUUUUCAAUUACAUGCUAAUCCUCUUUAGCCACAGGCAAAGAUUAUGAUGUAUAACACAUAGGAAAAUCACAAAAUCGAGGUAAACCACACAGUACUGGGAAUCAUGGUCUAACCAAGUUGACACACAUAUUUGGGGUAUAGAAUUCAUGACAAAGGCCAAGAAUGAAGAAAUACACGAUUUUUUUUACCAAUUUCUGCAGUCUGAAAUUGAUCAAGCAUGCAAUGAGGAUGCGUUGAUAAUUACUGGUGAUUGAAAUGUGAAAGUUGGAGACAAAGAAGAAGGAUUGGUAGUUAGCAAAUAUGGCCUUGGUGAUAGAAACGAUGCCGGAGAUCCCAUGAUAGAAUUUUGCAAGACCAACGACUUCUUAAUGGCAAAUACCUUUUUUCACUGACACGAUCGGCCACUAUACACAUGGACCUCCCCAGAUGGAAUACACAGGAAUCAAGUCAACUACAUCUGUGAAAAGAGACAUGGAAAAGCUCAAUAUCAUCAGUCAGCACAAGGCCAGGGGCUGACUGCAGAACCAACCAUCAGUUGCUCAUAUGCAAGUUCAAGUUGGAACUGAAAAAAAUUAGAAUGAGUACAUGAUAGCCGAAGUGCGACCUUGAGCAUAUCCCACUUGAACUUAGAGACUAUCUUAAGAAUAGAUUUGACGUGUUAAACACUAAUGACCGAAGACCAGGCGAGUUGUGGAAUGACAUCAAGGACAUCAUACAUGAAGAAAGCAAGAGGUCAUUUAAAGAGACAGGAAAGUAAGAAAAGACCAAAAUGGAUGUCAGAAGAGACUCUGAAAAUUGCUCUUGAAUAUCGAGUAGCUAAAGGAAAGGAAGAAAUAAGUAAAAGAGCUGAAUAGAAGAUUUCAAGGGGCGGCUUGAGAAGACACAAAGUAAAGUAUUGUAAAUGACAUGUGCAAAGACCUGGAGGUAGAAAACCAAAAGGGAAGAACAUGCUCAGCAUUUCUCAAGCUGAAAGAACUGAUGAAAAAAUUCAAGCCUCAAGUUGCAGUAUUGAAGAAUUCUACAGGGAUAAUGUUAAGCAAUGCAGGAAGCAUUAAAAGAAAAUGGAAGGAAUACACAGAGUAACUAUACCAAAAAUAAUUAGUUGAUGUUCAGCCAUUUCAGGAGGUAGCAUUUGAUCAGGAACCGAUGGUACUGAAGGAAGAAGUCCAAGCUGCACUGAAAGCACUGGCGAAAAACAGGGCUCCAGGAAUUGACAGAGUACCAAUGGAGUUAUUUCAUCAAAGGGAUGCAGCACUGAAAGUGCUCACUUGUCUAUGCCAAGAAAUUUGGAAGACAGCUACCUGGCCAACCGACUGGAAGAGAUUCAUAUUUAUGCCAAUAUCCCAAGAAAGGUGAUCCAACCGAAUGUGAAAAUUAUCUAAUAAUAUCAUUAAUAUCACAUACAAGUAAAACUUUGUUGAAGAUCAUUCAAAAGUGGCUGCAGCAGUAUAUCGACAGGGAACUGCCAGAAAUUCAAGGAGGAUUCAGAAGAGGUUGUGGAACCAGGAUAAAUCAUUGCUGAUGUCAGAUGGAUUCUGGCUGAAAGCAGAGAAUACCAGAAAGAUGUUUACCUGUGUUUUAUUGACUAUGCUAAAGCAUUUGACUGUGUGGAUCAUAACAAAUUAUGGAUAACAUUGCAAAGAAUGGGAAUUCCAGAGCACUUAACUGUGCUCGUGAAGAACCUGUACAUAGAUUAAGAGGCAAUCAUUCUAACAGAGCAAGGGUAUACUGUGUGAUUUAAAGUCAGGAAGGAUGUGUGUCAGGGUUGUAUCCUUUCACCAAAUGUAUUCAAUCUGUAGGCUGAACAAAUAAUCCGAGAAGCUGGAGUAUAUGAAGAAGAAUGAGGCAUCAGGAUUGGAGAAGACCAUUAACAACCUGCAAUAUGGAAAUGACACAACCUUGCUUGCUGAAAGUGAAGAGGACUUGAAGCACUUACUGAUGAAGAUCAAAGACCACAGCCUACAGUAUGGAUUACACCUGAACAGAAAGAAAACAAAAAUCCUCAAACUGACCAGUAAGCAACAUCAUGAUAAACGGAGAAAAUAUUGAGGUGUCAAGGAGUUAGUUUUACUUGGAUUCAUAAUCAGUACCCACGGAAUCAGCAGUCAGAAAAUCAAAAUAUGCAUUGCAUCGGGCAAAUCUCCUGCAAAAGACUUCUUUAAAGUAUUAAAAAGCAAAGAUGUCACCUUGAAGACUAAGGUGUACCUGAUCCAAGUUGUGGUGUUUUCAAUCGCAUCACAUACAUGUGAAAGCUGGACAAUGAAUGAGGAGGACCAAAUAAGAAUUGAUGCUUUCGAAUUGUGGUGUUGGCAAAGAAAUUGAAUAUAUACCAUCGACUGCUAAAAGAAUGAACAAAUGUGUCUUGGAAGAAGUACAACCAGCAUGCUCCUUAGAAGCAAGGAUGGUGAGACUAUGUCUCACAUACUUUGGAUGUUAUCAGGAGGGAUCAGUUCUUGGAGAAGGACACCAUGCUUGGUAAAGUAAAGGGCCAGCAAAAAAGAGGAAGACCUUCCACAAGUUGGAUUGACACAGUGGCUGCAACAAUGGGCUCAAGCAUAACAACGAUUGUGAGGAUGGCACGGGACUGGCAGUGUUUCGUUCUGUUGUAGAUAGGGUUGCUAUGAGUCGGAAUUGACUUGAUGGCACCUAAGAACAACGACAAUUCUUCUUCAGUCUUCUUUGUUCAUUUCUUAUUCACUUUUUUAAAGUUUUUAUUGUGCUUUAGGUGAAAGUUUACAAAUCAAGUCAGUCUCUCAUACAAAAAUUUAUAUACACCUUGCUUGUAUACUCCUAGUUGCUCUCCCUCUAAUAGGGCCGCACACUCCUUCUCUCCACUCUCUUAUUUUCACGUCCAUUCAGCCAGCUUCUGACCCCCUCUGCCUUUUCAUCUCCCCUCCAGACAGGAGUUGCCCACAUAGUCUCAUGUGUCUGCUUGACCCAAGAAGCUCACUCUUCACCAGUGUCAGUUUCUGUGCCAUAGUCCAGUCCAAUCCCUGUCUGAAGAGUCGGCUUUGGGAACGGCUCCUGUCUUGGGUUAACAGAAGGUCUGGGGACCAUGACCUCCGGGGGCCUUUCCAGUCUCAGUCAGACCAUUAAGU
Molecule: long non-coding RNA, 27188 nt
Organism: Loxodonta africana (African savanna elephant)
Lineage: Eukaryota; Metazoa; Chordata; Mammalia; Proboscidea; Elephantidae
Exons: 4
Source: RefSeq, a predicted model, not a curated record